RNAcentral lists this ribosomal RNA (253 nucleotides) under uncultured bacterium. RNAcentral describes it as "partial 16S ribosomal RNA". It matches the Rfam family "Bacterial small subunit ribosomal RNA", at positions 524 to 776 of the family's 1533-position model. The record is from RNAcentral.
UACAGAGGUCUCAAGCGUUGUUCGGAUUCAUUGGGCGUAAAGGGUGCGUAGGCGGCGCGGUAAGUCGGGUGUGAAAUCUCGGAGCUUAACUCCGAAACUGCAUUCGAUACUGCCGUGCUUGAGGACUGGAGAGGAGACUGGAAUUUACGGUGUAGCGGUGAAAUGCGUAGAUAUCGUAAGGAAGACCAGUGGCGAAGGCGGCUUGCUGGGCCUUACCUGACGCUGAGGAGCGAAAGCGUGGGGAGCGAACAGG